This is a small nucleolar RNA of Oncorhynchus gorbuscha (pink salmon), 75 nucleotides long. RefSeq annotates it as small nucleolar RNA SNORD61. NCBI's taxonomy places the organism in Eukaryota, Metazoa, Chordata, Actinopteri, Salmoniformes, Salmonidae. The record is from RefSeq and is a predicted model, not a curated record. The transcript has a single exon.
GCAAUGAAGACACACUUGGUUUUGAUCAACGAGAUGAAAUAAAUCUCACCAAUACCUCUAAGAAGUUCUGAGCUC